RNAcentral lists this ribosomal RNA (59 nucleotides) under Marchantia emarginata subsp. tosana. Its description in RNAcentral is "Marchantia tosana partial 26S rRNA". It matches the Rfam family "Eukaryotic large subunit ribosomal RNA", at positions 1 to 58 of the family's 3401-position model. The record is from RNAcentral. Lineage: Eukaryota; Viridiplantae; Streptophyta; Marchantiopsida; Marchantiales; Marchantiaceae.
CUGACCUCAGAUCAGGCAAGACCACCCGCUGAGUUUAAGCAUAUCACUAAGCGGAGAAA